UGUAGUCAUAUGCUUGUCUCAAGGAUUAAGCCAUGCAUGUCUAAGUAUGAACCUUCAUACGGUGAAACUGCGAACGGCUCAUUACAACAGUCAUCAUUUACUUGGUCAUUGGAUCUCUGAUCCUACAUGGAUACCUGUUGGUAACACCAGAGCUAAUACAUGCACAAACUCCCUGGCGCAAGCGGGGAGGCAUUUAUUAGAUUCAACCAACCCGGCGCUCGCGCCGGUCGGAUGAUUCACAGUAAAUCGUUGCGAAUCGCUCCGUACGGAGUGAUGAACCAAUCAAGUUUCUGCCCUAUCAGCUUUCGUCGGUACGGUAUUGGCGUACCGAGGCGUCAACGGGUAACGGGGAAUA
This 355-nucleotide ribosomal RNA is filed under the name uncultured fungus. Its description in RNAcentral is "bacterial SSU rRNA". It matches the Rfam family "Eukaryotic small subunit ribosomal RNA", at positions 21 to 371 of the family's 1831-position model. The record is from RNAcentral. Lineage: Eukaryota; Fungi.